UCGCAAUGCAAUAUGGGUCAUUCUUGACAGGUUGACCAAGAUUGCCAAUUUUCUGUCAAUCGGAGCCAUAGAUUCCCUUAGUAGAUUAGCCUGCUUAUACGUUGAUAAAAUUAUUUGACUCCACGGCAUCCCCUCGUCCAUUAUGUUCCACUGAGAUCCUUGAUUUACCUCUCAUUUUUGGGAUAGCUUUUAAGAAGCACUUGGUUCGGGAUUGUAGUUCAGCCCUG
RNAcentral lists this long non-coding RNA (227 nucleotides) under Carica papaya (papaya). RNAcentral describes it as "long non-coding RNA (CPAP_LNC009280)". Lineage: Eukaryota; Viridiplantae; Streptophyta; Magnoliopsida; Brassicales; Caricaceae. The record is from RNAcentral.